Long non-coding RNA from Anguilla rostrata (American eel), 4788 nucleotides. RefSeq lists it as uncharacterized. The transcript has 2 exons. The record is from RefSeq and is a predicted model, not a curated record. NCBI's taxonomy places the organism in Eukaryota, Metazoa, Chordata, Actinopteri, Anguilliformes, Anguillidae.
UGCGUCCGAAUAGUCUUUUUUGCUUAGGAAGGUUCCUAACUGAGUGAAAUGACCCGGAAGUAUCUAAGUGGCAGCCAUGAUAAGAGUUGUUCGAAUUCUCUAAAUGCUAAGGAAAUGUGCUUCAAUGCUUCCUAUCUUAUCUCCUUUAGCAUAGGGCACACUGGACCGUCCUUUACGAAAGGAAAGGAGAUAAUGCCGUCCCACAAUUCCGUACGGCAGCAACAUUUAAAGCGAAGCACCAUUCGACCGUUCAAGAAAACAAACGAUUAACACGACUGAGUUGUGUGGUGGUUCUUAAGCUAUUACAUGCAUAGGCUUACAAUCAGAUCAUAAUCAGCAUAUUAACCAUAACACAGAAGUCUGUCUUUCAAGAAAAAGGGAUAUGAGACGUUUUUAACCAGAUUGUUUUUAAUUCAACAUGUUUGAAACUUAUGAUGAUAUGUACAGUAGUACAUGUGUAGGCCUAACAUGCCUAUCUUGCAUUAAAUUUAAUGAAUUAUUUUCAUACAAUCAUACUAAUUGGGAUUCAUGUCGAUAAAUAUGAGUGGACAGGAGGGUGAUCGUGAGCAACCAUUCUCAAUGUGACAACCAUUUUGUUUCACUUUUGUGACUGGUAGCCUAUAUUCCUUUUUAUUUCAAUUCCAAACUUGGUAAUGAAGUAAUAUUUUUCACCGGGUGGUCCACGUUUAUAGCCUGCAUGAAACACGUCAAGAACGCACGGGGCGAAGUAUCUAAGAUGCGCUUUUAGUAGUCCAUCUUCGGAACAUUGUAGUUUUACCACGGCAGACCCACGACAAUAACAUCCGCAGUCGCAUAAUUACGUAGCCUAGUGUAAGUGCAGUCGGAUUCUCUUAGCACCGCGGUUGUCUUUUCCUAAAUCCUUUUGAAUUCUCCUUCACAUCUUUCCUUAACGUCAUGACGUUUUCCAUCGAGGUCAAGGAAAAGUGGUUAGGAAAAGACAUAGGACGUAUUUGUUUUGACUAUUCGGACGCAGCCUAUAUUUCCACCAGAAGAAAUUUAGUCGGCUAAGAGGAAAUUCACCUGUUCGUUCUCCCACUUUGCUAGAUUAACGUUAGCUACACUAACAGUAGCUCAUUUCGCAACCGUCGGUCAGCUAGACUGAAAGCUGGCAGUCAAAACGAAAUGAUUCAGACUACUGCACAUAGCUAGCUAAUGAUGUCAGGUCACAUACUUUUUUUCAUUCCAUCAAACAAGACAAUUAAGCGGGCAAAGCAUAUUUUAAAAAUCCUUAGGCUAUAUUAAUCCACUAUUAUUUUUAGUGAAAUUGGAAGACGAUCAUUUUUAUUAAGAUCCAAUUAAAAUAUUUUACAUUUUUUUCUACUUUAUUAUUUAAAAUUUUUGAUGACGUUUCUGUUCUCAAAAUAGCUAUGCAUGCCAUGUACACUGUAAAAAUGGAUUUGGCUUGUUUGUUAUCCUAACUAAUUUUUUCAUGUCAAUAGGAAUGUAGGUUCGUGUAAAAAAUGUUUUAACUUAAAAUAAAUUGACAACCUCUCAACUACAUGAAAGUUUUCCUUUUACGAUGUUAUCUUAACUAAAUAAUGUAUGUGGAGUUGAAAAUGGGGCGAAGUUGGCAACGUGUGCAUCAUCACGUGGCUACGUCGUGCGUCAAGUGGCUUAUGGGAAAGCUGCGCGAAGUUGGAGCAAGUGAGAGACACAGAAAACCGGAAAAGAACAGAAGAAGAAUUGCAGAUGAGUCUACGUGACCAAAAUGCAGAGUUGAAUGCGGUGGUCUUGUAAGUUUUCUACCUACUUCUCAGGAAAUCGCAGAAGAAUAAUUGAACAUUAUAGAGCUGUUAAUGGACAUUAUGGAAGAAACUGUCCAUUGCCUUGUAUCUACAGUGACUGUCCACUAGUUUUCCGAUCACAACAAUCCCUUAAGAACCACUUAAGAGAACAUGGAGUUUUACGGCAUGGACCUAUUGGACUUUUAAACUUUAAAAUUAAUUGUCAGUUGUGUGACUUUAAUGAUCCAGUCACUAUAAAACAAUACUUGAGUCAUCUUGGGAAACAUCUGAAGAACAAAGAGACUGUUACCUGCCCUUUUAAUUAUUGUUCCUUCAAAUCCUGUGUUUACUCAACCUUCACGUCCCACAAAAGUCGAUUUCAUAACAACAGCACACUACAAGACUUUAAAUCUGAACUUGUUAUUCAAACAAAUGUGAUUGAUGAACAUGUGGCUGAUCAAGUACAGUCAGAUGUCAGUGAUAGUGAAUUGGUUUCUGUGGAUGACAAUGUAACCAAGCAGGAAGUUAACUCUGAAGUUCAGGCGAGACUUGCAUCUUUAGUUCUGCAAAGUCAAAGACAGCAAUUCAGCAAAUAGUUACAGAAUAUAGUGAUAUUGGUGUUCUAGUGAAUGAGCUAAACAAAAAGACUCUAGAUAAAGUAUUGUGGCAGCAUGGUUGUAACAUUGAUGAAAACACUCUGAAUGUAAUUAAAGAUACUUUGUGCCAGACCAAUCCUUUCAGUAACUGACAACAGAAGGUUAACGUUUUUCAAAGAAAAUUUCUGUGUAAUUAACCCAGUUGAAUAUGUUUUUGAAUAUGUAGAUUUGUCAUCAAAACAAACAUUUGUCAUCAAAACAACAUCUUGGAUGUUCUUCUGGUGUUGUUGAAUAGGGGUGGUGUAAUUGACAGAGUUUUAGAAGAAACCCAAAAAUCACAAUCUGGCCAGUACAAAUCCUUUUUUGAUGCAUCAUAUUGUAAAGAAAAUCCACUUCUUUCUGGUGAAAGUCUAAGUAUUUUUCUGGGCUUGUAUAUUGAUGACUUUGAGGUCUGUAACCCUUUAGGCACCUCAAAAAAGAAAUAUUAAUUAUGUGCAAUCUAUUGGGUAAUUGCGAUUUUACCUGUUAGAGACAGAUCAUCAUUGCCUACUAUAUAUCUUGCUGCUUUAUGCAAGAGUCAAUAUGUUAAAGAAUUUGGGUAUGGGCCAAUUGUUGAACCACUUCUGAAAGACCUACAGCUGCUUGAAAACCAAGGAAUCUACAUCAGUAGGUUAGGAACCAGUGUGAGAGGCAAAGUACUGUACAUUUCAUCAAAUAAUUUGGGGGCACAUCCUUUUGCUGGCUUUCAGGAGUCCUUUAAUGUGGACAAGUUCUGCAGUCCUUGCCAUUCGAACAGAUAUUGACACAUGUUCUGUAAGAAAUGGGGCAUUUGUAUUACGAACAAUAGAGUCACACAACCUGAACCUUGCUAAGCUAAAGGAGAACGAGAAUUUGAGAAGUGUGGAUGGGGUAAAACGUGACUGUGUCCUAAACAGACUGAAAUAUUUUCAUUGUAUAACAAGGUUUCCACCCAACGUUUUACAUGAUCUUUUGGAAGGCAUUGUACACAGCAAAAUCACUAGUGUUAAAUUAACACCCACAGUCUUAAUUUUAACACCAGCAAAGUGUCUAUAUGCAUCCACACUGUAGCGUGUUAAAGGAACACUUUUGAAAGUCUUAAAAAGUUAACACCCAAUUUGAGUUGAUUCAACACUCUACAUUGUUAAAAAUCAACACUACACAACACUUUAAGAUGUUGUAGUUACACUACACUGGUGUUGGUAUUAAAAUAAAAUGUUAAAAAGGAACACUGCUAUUUAACACCAACACCAGUGUAGUGUGAAUACAACAAAACGCAGGGUUGAAAAUUUACGAAUAGUAACACUACUGGGUGUAAAUACCAAUAACACUAUUGGGUGCAAAAUCCCCCCCUACCCCACUAACUUAAAGUAAUAAUCUCGAAAUUUUCAUUAAAAUAAAUGUCUGUUAAGUCACUAUCUAUCGCUGAAUUAGGUAACACAAUGGUGAUUGAGCAUAUUAUUAUAUUAAUUUAUAUUAUUAUUAUUAUUAUUAUAAUUUAUGAUUAAAGAACUGGGUGUCUGUGGCGACAUUCCCGGGAAAAAAUCACAAGCGGCGCAUAGAUAGUGACGCGUUUUCCAUCACCCAUCAGUGGUUGGUCCGCCAGAGAGGGAAGGCGAAGCUAACGCAACAGGCUUGCUCUUCAACUCACUUGUGUGUGGGCGGCGUACAGUUUUUUCCGGUGUCUGCUAGCGUUAAAGGUGGGGGGUUAUGGAACCCUAAUAAGUUUUUGUGUAACAUGAGAGGUCAUAUUAUUUGUUGAUGUAGAUUUCGUAUUACAUUUGAUGACAAUGCAACGUUACUAAAUUACAUAGCUAUUUGCACAGCUAACACUAGCUACCGGACCAUGUCAAUAAAGGCAACAUUAGUUUAGACAACGUUGCGCACAGUAUCCAUCUCUCAUAUCAGGUAACGUUGCGUUAGUUAGCUAGCUAAUGUAAUUAACACAAUCUAAUGUCAGCUAACAAUUAUAAAAAACGCUAGCUAACGCUACUGACCGGUACCGACCUCGCAAACCGUCUCUCGAAUGCAAUGCUACCUUGUUGCAGCGUUGCAAUGUAGCUAACUAAAGGCCAGUUCAGAUCAAUGAUUCGCAACAAGACUGAAUGUAACUGGAAAAAUUCCAAGACGUCUGAUUGUAAACGUUCUAAAACUGCACUUGGCGAUUUGACAAGGUGGGUCUUUUGAGACCCUAGGCAACGGGUUCAGAGGCUCUGCAACUAACCAGUUCUCACCGCUGCAAUUUUCUCUGCAACAUUCUAAAACCGUUUCGUCUCGUUGCGAAUCAUCGAUCUUAACUGGCCUUACCGUUAUUUACAUUGCCAUCAAGUUCAUCAAUAUAUAAGCAUAGGUGGAGCAGAGCUGGGUCUGAUUUCUGUGUAAAGAUGUCAAGCCGAAGAAAACUAAAUAAAAGAAUACGGCAGUAUGGA